RNAcentral lists this unclassified non-coding RNA (241 nucleotides) under fungal sp. RNAcentral's name for it is "partial contains 5.8S ribosomal RNA, internal transcribed spacer 2, and large subunit ribosomal RNA". Lineage: Eukaryota; Fungi. The record is from RNAcentral.
CGCACAUUGCGCCCCUUGGUAUUCCGGGGGGCAUGCCCGUUCGAGCGUCAUUGCACCACACAAGCCUCGCUUGGUGUUGGGUCCCGGGGGCGACCCGGACCCCAAAUUCGUCGGCCGGACAGCCCGAAACGCAGCGUCGUGAAUCAAAUCUCGCUGACGGAGAGGGUGAUCCGCGCCGGAAAACGAUGAAUAUCUAUCACAGGUUGACCUCGGAUCGGGUAGGAAUACCCGCUGAACUUAA